GGCAAUUUGGCCGAGUGGUUAUGGCGCCAGUUUCAGGCUCACCUGAUUCUCCAAUACUGGUUCGAAAGAGCGUGGGUUCGAAUCCCACAAUUGUCA
Sclerotinia sclerotiorum is the source of this 96-nucleotide transfer RNA. It matches the Rfam family "tRNA". From Rfam's summary of the family: Transfer RNA (tRNA) molecules are approximately 80 nucleotides in length. Their secondary structure includes four short double-helical elements and three loops (D, anti-codon, and T loops). NCBI's taxonomy places the organism in Eukaryota, Fungi, Ascomycota, Leotiomycetes, Helotiales, Sclerotiniaceae. The record is from Rfam.